UCACCAUAAACGCCAAUACAUAUGACUAGUCACAACUUACUGGAUCAGACCAAGACUGCUCUAUGAUCAGGGAUGUACCAACUCCAGUUUUUAAGACUCCUCUAUCCUACCAACAAAGUGCUCUCAACUAGUCCCAAAUGACCCCUCUAAACUGUCUCAACACUCUAAACACACCAUGGACCACGAUUACUCAAAAUCAUAACC
RNAcentral lists this long non-coding RNA (204 nucleotides) under Vigna radiata. RNAcentral describes it as "long non-coding RNA (VRAD_LNC004495)". Lineage: Eukaryota; Viridiplantae; Streptophyta; Magnoliopsida; Fabales; Fabaceae. The record is from RNAcentral.